AGCCGGGUCCACGCAACGGAGAAUCACGAACCCCGCCAGGUCCGGGAGGAAGCAACGGUAGUGCCCCUCUCCGUGUGCCGUGGGGUGCCCGGCUAUC
RNAcentral lists this signal recognition particle RNA (97 nucleotides) under Desulfocapsaceae bacterium. RNAcentral describes it as "signal recognition particle sRNA small type". It matches the Rfam family "Bacterial small signal recognition particle RNA". Rfam says of the family: The signal recognition particle (SRP) is a universally conserved ribonucleoprotein involved in the co-translational targeting of proteins to membranes. Archaeal SRP consists of a 7S RNA and homologues of the eukaryotic SRP19 and SRP54 proteins. In most bacteria, the SRP consists of a 4.5S RNA and the Ffh protein (a homologue of the eukaryotic SRP54 protein). The record is from RNAcentral. Lineage: Bacteria; Pseudomonadati; Thermodesulfobacteriota; Desulfobulbia; Desulfobulbales; Desulfocapsaceae.